GAGUUUGAUCCUGGCUCAGAACGAACGCUGGCGGCGUGCCUAACACAUGCAAGUCGAACGGAAUUGAGGGGCUUGCUCCUCAUUUAGUGGCGCACGGGUGAGUAACGCGUAGAUAAUCUGCCUGAUGAUCCGGGAUAACACUUCGAAAGGGGUGCUAAUACCGGAUAAGCCCACGGUUUCUUUGGAAUCUGCGGGAAAAGGGGGGGACCUUUUGGCCUUCUGUCAUCARAUGAGUCUGCGUACCAUUAGCUAGUUGGUAGGGUAAAGGCCUACCAAGGCUACGAUGGUUAGCUGGUCUGARAGGAUGAUCAGCCACACUGGAACUGARACACGGUCCAGACUCCUACGGGAGGCAGCAGUGGGGAAUUUUGCGCAAUGGGCGAAAGCCUGACGCAGCAACGCCGCGUGAGUGAUGAAGGCUUUCGGGUCGUAAAGCUCUGUCGAGGGGAAAGAAGUGUACUUUGGCUAAUAUCCAUUGUACUUGACGGUACCCCUAAAGGAAGCACCGGCUAACUCCGUGCCAGCAGCCGCGGUAAUAC
This 539-nucleotide ribosomal RNA is filed under the name uncultured Geobacteraceae bacterium. RNAcentral describes it as "bacterial SSU rRNA". It matches the Rfam family "Bacterial small subunit ribosomal RNA", at positions 9 to 526 of the family's 1533-position model. The record is from RNAcentral. Lineage: Bacteria; Pseudomonadati; Thermodesulfobacteriota; Desulfuromonadia; Geobacterales; Geobacteraceae.